GGGGCUGUAGCUCAGUGGCAGAGCAUUUGUCUGCCAUGUAUGAGGUCCACGGUUCUAUUCCUAGUCCUG
RNAcentral lists this transfer RNA (69 nucleotides) under Dipodomys ordii (Ord's kangaroo rat). It matches the Rfam family "tRNA". From Rfam's summary of the family: Transfer RNA (tRNA) molecules are approximately 80 nucleotides in length. Their secondary structure includes four short double-helical elements and three loops (D, anti-codon, and T loops). The record is from Rfam by way of RNAcentral. Lineage: Eukaryota; Metazoa; Chordata; Mammalia; Rodentia; Heteromyidae.